Long non-coding RNA from Melanotaenia boesemani (Boeseman's rainbowfish), 219 nucleotides. RefSeq lists it as uncharacterized. The transcript is spliced from 3 exons. Lineage: Eukaryota; Metazoa; Chordata; Actinopteri; Atheriniformes; Melanotaeniidae. The record is from RefSeq and is a predicted model, not a curated record.
UGUCAACAACUGAAAACAUGUCUAUCCAGCCUUACAUGUUCAAGCCAGAAAAUGACCCAGAGCAGGAGAAUGAAGACAACGAACCUGCAGAACCAUGCCUUCAAAUGAAUGCAUUACAGUGGUGUACCCGUGGUAACUAUUCUAAAAUGCCAACAGAAAUUGAAAACCUAUGCUGUACAGAAAUUCCCAUGGUUGUUGCCAGAAUGGAGGAAAUACCCA